GAUAAGGUGGCCGAGCAGGUGGUGGGUUGUAGCCCCGAAGACAGAGGUUUAAGUCCUCUCUUUAUCA
RNAcentral lists this transfer RNA (67 nucleotides) under Kalophrynus palmatissimus. RNAcentral's name for it is "tRNA-Tyr". It matches the Rfam family "tRNA". Rfam says of the family: Transfer RNA (tRNA) molecules are approximately 80 nucleotides in length. The record is from RNAcentral. Lineage: Eukaryota; Metazoa; Chordata; Amphibia; Anura; Microhylidae.